UGGGCGUAAAGGGCGCGUAGCCGGUUUGUUAAGUCGAAGGUGAAAUCCUCGGGCUCAACUCGAGAAUUGCCUUCGAUACUGGCAAACUAGAGUGCCGGAGAGGAAAGCGGACUCUUGGUGUAACGGUGGAAUGUGUAGAUAUCAAGAGGAACACCGGUGGCGAAGGCGGCUUUCUGGACGCACACUGACGCUCAGGCGCGAAAGCGUGGGUAGCAAACAGGAUUAGAUACCCUGGUAGUCCACGCCAUAAACGAUGGGUACUAGGUGUCGGGGGUAUCGACCCCUCCGGUGCCGCAGUUAACGCACUAAGUACCCCGCCUGGGGAUUAUGGUCGCAAGGCUGAAACUCAAAGGAAUUGACGGGGCCCCGCACAAGCGGUGGAGCAUGUGGUUUAAUUCGACGCAACGCGAAGAACCUUACCUGGGCUUGACAUGCUUGGGACAGCGCUGGAAACAGCGUCUCUCCUUCGGGAGCCCUUGCACAGGUGCUGCAUGGCUGUCGUCAGCUCGUGUCGUGAGAUGUUGGGUUAAGUCCCGCAACGAGCGCAACCCUCGUUACUAGUUGCCAUCAGUUCGGCUGGGCACUCUAGUGAGACUGCCGGUGAUAAACCGGAGGAAGGUGAGGAUGAUGUCAAGUCAUCAUGGCCCUUACGCCCAGGGCUACACACGUGCUACAAUGGUCGGCACAAAGGGUCGCUAAGCCGCGAGGUGGAGCUAAUCCCAAAAAGCCGGCCUCAGUUCGGAUUGGAGUCUGCAACCCGACUCCAUGAAGGCGGAAUCGCUAGUAAUCGCGGAUCAGCAUGCCGCGGUGAAUAUGUUCCCGGGGCUUGUACACACCGCCCGUCAUAUCACCCGAGUCGGGGAUACCCGAAGUCCGUGACCCAACCAUUUGGAGGGAGCGGCCGAAGGUGUGCCUG
RNAcentral lists this ribosomal RNA (916 nucleotides) under uncultured organism. RNAcentral's name for it is "bacterial SSU rRNA". It matches the Rfam family "Bacterial small subunit ribosomal RNA", at positions 555 to 1470 of the family's 1533-position model. The record is from RNAcentral.